Molecule: ribosomal RNA, 256 nt
Filed under: uncultured bacterium
Lineage: Bacteria
Description: partial 16S ribosomal RNA
Rfam family: Bacterial small subunit ribosomal RNA
Source: RNAcentral
ACAUGCAAGUCGAACGAAGUAGCAAUACUUAGUGGCAGACGGGUGAGUAACAUGUGGGUAUCUGCCCUUUGGCCUGGAAUAACACGAGGAAACUUGUGCUAAUACCGGAUAAGUCUUUACGGAGAAAGCUUUAUGCACCAUUGGAUGAGCCCGCACUUGAUUAGUUAGUUGGUAGGGUAAUGGCCUACCAAGACUGUGAUCAAUAGCUGAUUUGAGAGGAUGAUCAGCCACAUUGGGACUGAGACGCGCCAACUCC